This 72-nucleotide transfer RNA is filed under the name Floricoccus tropicus. It matches the Rfam family "tRNA". From Rfam's summary of the family: Transfer RNA (tRNA) molecules are approximately 80 nucleotides in length. Their secondary structure includes four short double-helical elements and three loops (D, anti-codon, and T loops). RNAcentral also lists the same sequence under 1 other name. Lineage: Bacteria; Bacillati; Bacillota; Bacilli; Lactobacillales; Streptococcaceae. The record is from Rfam by way of RNAcentral.
CUGCCUUUAGUGUAAUGGAUAUCACGUAAGAUUCCGGUUCUUGAGAUAGCGGUUCGACUCCGCUAGGGCAGA